CUUACGGUAGUGAGUUCAAGGGAUUAAACGUCUUUCUUUCCUGUCUCUAUCUUUGCCAAUCAAGGAAAGAAAGUCGUUUAAUCCCUUGAACUCACAGCAACUCGUUACGCUCGGCCCACCCACCUCACUACACUUGUUUAUAGAGAAUCGAACGAAACGGAGAGCUCAGUCAAUCAAGGCAAGGAAACUCGAUGAACUACUCGGGACGGGAAAGGAAAGAGCCAUAAAUCAAACUCGCUUAUCUCACAACUCGGGAUGCUCCUUACGCUCGGUAGUCUCACAACUGACUACCUUCGCUAAUGGAGCUACACUCACAGAUGGCGAGAGUCCAGUAACUGAAAGCCUCACUGACUUACGCUCUGACCCGAGUAGCAUGAGGCACAUGGAAUCCCGUGUGAAUCAGCAAGGACCACCUUGUAAGGCUAAAUACUCCUGGGUGACCGAUAGCGAAGUAGUACUGUGAGGGAAAAAUAAAAAGAACCCCCAUCGGGGAGUGAAAUAGAACAUGAAACCGUGAG
This 518-nucleotide non-coding RNA is filed under the name Amborella trichopoda. RNAcentral's name for it is "Bacterial large subunit ribosomal RNA". It matches the Rfam family "Bacterial large subunit ribosomal RNA", at positions 135 to 562 of the family's 2925-position model. The record is from Rfam by way of RNAcentral. Lineage: Eukaryota; Viridiplantae; Streptophyta; Magnoliopsida; Amborellales; Amborellaceae.